RNA transcript from Prionailurus viverrinus (fishing cat), 2686 nucleotides. It is a transcript of the gene named zinc finger protein 709-like, with no coding region annotated. The transcript is spliced from 6 exons. The record is from RefSeq and is a predicted model, not a curated record. Lineage: Eukaryota; Metazoa; Chordata; Mammalia; Carnivora; Felidae.
UCCACGGACCGCUUACCUCUGGCCUGCUGUCACUCCGGAGGGAGUGGGUGGGCCUUGCAACCUGUCCAAUCAGGGGAGACGUCAGGGCAAGGGGGUGGGGCGACGCUCCGCAGGCGCGCCGCGGGAGGCUUCUGGCUCCCGCCAUUGUUUGGAUCGCGGGUCGCCGGCGCUGAAGUCCUCCACGUCGCUGUGCCUCGGGUUCUGUCUUGCUGAGCCCUGGACCUUCCUCGGAAAUCGUAGGUAGGACGCCGGGAGACACAGGAAAGCUAGAAAUGGACUCGGUGGCCUUUGAGGAUGUGACUGUGAAGUUCACCAUGGAGGAGUGGGCCCUCCUGGAUCCAUCCCAGAAGAAACUCUACAGAGAUGUGAUGCAGGAAACCUUCAGGAACCUGGCCUCAAUAGUAUGUAUUUCAGAAGAAAAAUGGGAAGUCUAUGACAGCAAAGAUCGGGAUGAGAAUCAUGGGACACAUCUAAUCAGUCAAAUGGGAGGAAGACUCUGUAAAUGUAAAGAAUGUAGCCAGUAUGAAGGAAUCUUCGGCCAGAUUCCAAAUCAGAAUCUGAAGAAGAGAACUCCUACUGGAAUAAAACUAGGUAAAUGGCCUGUGUGCGGACAGGUGUUCAUGCAUCAUUCAUCUUUGAACAAGCACCUGAGAUCUCACGCUGGACACAAACUAUAUGAGUAUCAAGAAGGUGAAGAGAAGCCUUAUAAAUGUAAGCGUUGUGGGAAAUCCUUCAAGCAUCGCCAAUCCAUUCGAAUGCACGAAAGGUCGCACGCUGGACAGAGACCCUAUGAAUGCAAGCACUGUGGGAAGGCUUUCAUUUGUCGCAAUUACUUUCAAAUCCAUCAAAGGGCACACAGUGGGGAAAAGCCCUACAAAUGUACAGAAUGUGGUAAAACCUUUAGUUAUUCAAGUAACUUACGUAAACACGAAAGGACUCACAUCGGAGAGAAAUCUAGUGAAUGUAAGCAAUGUGGAAAAGCUUUCAGUUGUGUCAGGUCCUUUCGAAUACACGAAAGGAUACACAGUGCAAAAAAGCCCAAGGAAUGUACAAAAUGUGGUAAAACGUUCAGUUACUCAAGUAAUUUAUAUAAGCAUGAGAGAAGUCAUAAUGGGGAGAAACUCUAUGAACGUAAAGAAGGUGGGAAAGCCUUGCAUUCUCUCACCAAAUUUCAAAGACCCGUGAUCAAGCACAAUGGAGAUGGACUUUAUAAAUGUAAGGAGUGUGGGAAAGCCUUCAGGUGUCCCAAAAACUGUCGUAGUCAUGAAAUGACACACAGUGGAGUAAAGCCGUAUGAAUGUAAGGAAUGUGGUAAAGCUUUCAGCUCUCCCAGGUCCCUUGGAAAACACAGAAGAAUUCAUACUGCCACGAAGCCUCACGAAUGUAAGGAAUGUGGUAAGGCUUUUCGUUAUCCCAGUUCCCUUCGAAAUCAUGAAAGAACUCAUACGGGGGAGAAACCUUAUGAGUGUAAGGAGUGUGGGAAAGCUUUUAGUUGUCCCAAUUAUUUUCGAAUUCAUGAAAGAACUCACACUGGAGUAAAACCAUAUGAAUGUAAGCAGUGUGGAAGAGCUUUCAGUUGUCCCCAGUCCUUUCGGAUACACGAAAAGACGCAUAGCGCAGAAAAGCCCUAUGAAUGUGCAGAAUGUGGUAAAGUCUUCAGGUACUCCAGUAACUUACGCAAACAUGAGAGAUCUCAUACUGAUGAUAAACGCUACGAAUGUAAACUAUGUGGUAAGGCCUUCAGCAGUCACUAUUAUGUUCAAAAACAUGAAAGAACUCACAAUGGAGAAAAACCCUAUGAAUGUAAGGAAUGUGGGAAAGGCUUCAUUUUUCGCUCAGGUGUUCGAUCGCACAUGGUAAUCCACACUGGAGAUGGGCCUUAUAAAUGUAAGAAAUGUAAAAAAGCAUUUAUUUCUCCCAGUUCGUUACGAACACAUGAAAGAACUCACACUGGAGAGAAACCUUACCAAUGUAAAACUUGUAGUAAAACCUUCAGUCUUACAAAUUCCUUACGAAACCAUGAAAGAACUCAUACGUGAGAGAGAUGUAUGUGGUAAAGCUUUUUCCUAUUUUCCUAUGAAAAUAAGGAAUGUGAGAAAGCAAAAGAUUUGUUGCAUAAUCUUUCAUGGACACGUAAGAAUGCACACUGGAGAGGAAUUGUAGAAAUGUACAGAACGCAAGAAAGCCUUCAGUUGUCCUGUUUCCUUCAGAACUGACCAAAAGUCACAGUGGAGAGAAUUCUAUCGGUAAUAAACAAUGUGGGAAACCUUCACUUGCCCGCCAUCACUAAACAUCUCAUUCCCCAGAUUCAUCCUGUAUAACUAAAACAUAAAAACUUUGUAAUUUUUGCAGAUAUUUUCAAGGUGGUAUGAAAGUUAUAUGGGAAAGAAAUCAUACUCAAGUAAUAUGGAAUCAAGAAUAAUCUCAAAACCACCACCAAGUGCUUGACUUCCAUUUGAUCCCAGCAGUAGGCUUCUACAGUUGUGUCCAAAGUUCUACAUCAGAGACCCGGCAGGGGUUAAAGUUUCCAGCAAGCUCUCAGGUGAAAGGAAUUGAAACUCCCUUAAUGAUUUGGCACGUGUUUUCUGGCUGAUCAGACUGAGUGGCACACUUUGUGCCCCAUGCCAAGUUCCAGUCUGAGGAGGUUCUGUCAUCUGCGGAGCUAUAGCCCGUCAUGAGUUUUCCU